AGCAGCCGCGGUAAUUCCAGCUCCAAUAGCGUAUAUUAAAGUUGUUGCAGUUAAAAAGCUCGUAGUUGAAUUUCGAGAUCGGUUUAUUGGUCGUGCUAUUGUACGUACUGGUAUUACCGGUUUCUCCUUUCUGACGAACCAUAAUGCCAUUAAUUUGGUGUUUUGGGAAAUCAGGACUGUUACUUUAGAAAAAAUUAGAGUGUUUAAAGCAAGGCUCACGCUUGAAUACAUUAGCAUGGAAUAACGGAAUAGGACGUUUGAUUCUAUUUUGUUGGUUUCUAGGAUCGACGUAAUGAUUAAUAGGGAUAGUUGGGGGCAUUAGUAUUCAAUUGUCAGAGGUGAAAUUCUUGGAUUUAUUGAAGACUAACUACUGCGAAAGCAUUUGCCAAGGAUGUUUUCAUUAAUCAAGAACGAAAGUUAGGGGAUCGAAGACGAUCAGAUACCGUCGUA
RNAcentral lists this ribosomal RNA (450 nucleotides) under uncultured Glomeromycotina. RNAcentral's name for it is "SSU rRNA". It matches the Rfam family "Eukaryotic small subunit ribosomal RNA", at positions 569 to 1022 of the family's 1831-position model. Lineage: Eukaryota; Fungi; Glomeromycota. The record is from RNAcentral.